CAUAGAAAAAAAAAAAAAGUAAAGAUCAGCAGACAAGAGGAAAAGUAACUGAGCUGUUUCCUGUGCCUGCCCCUGAGAGCUGAUGGCUUCCCAGAGAUGCCUCACAGUCCUGCGCAGACAGAGAGAAUGCAGAAGCUGGCAAAGGAUCCUCCACACGCAAGAUCAGAGGACGUCCCAGAUCAUCUUUUCUUUGUGGAUACUGCAGCCAGGUGUACAGUAAGGAGCAGACAACAUGGCACUGGCCAAGUGGAAAGGCUGUUUGCAUAAUAAGAUUACGAUGGGGUGGCCUGCCUUCCCUGUGUGCUACGUAAACAUCACACCUGAUCCAACCAAUCUGCAGGCCCUACAUAAAUCAGACACCGCCUCCUCCAGCCUGCCUAUAAAAUCUGGUACACUCCACGUGGGCCAGAAGUCCCAUUUGGAUGCCCCUCUCUUUCGCAAGAGAGAGAGCUGUUCUCCUUUCUCUUUCUUUUGCCUAUUACAUUCCGCUCCUAAAGUCACUUCUCAUGUAUGUCCACGUCCUUAAUCUUCUUGAUGCAAGACAAUGAACCCGGGUAUUUACCCCAGACAACAACACCACUUCACUAGGAGUUAAAAGAACUUGAAAUGCAAAUUCAUGGUCAUCUGGUUCCAAAGCCCAUAUUAACAAAAUUUUUUUAAUUGUGAUAAAAUACACAUAACAUAAAGUUGACCGUGUUAACUGUUUUUAAAUGUACAGUCCAGUAGUGUUAAGUACAUUCACAUUGUUGGGCAAUCCUUCUUCAGAACUUUUUAAGUUUCCCAAACUGAAGCUCUGCGUCUAUUAAGAACAACUCUUUCUUCCAAUCCCCAGCUGUUGGCAACUAUCAUUCUACUUUCUGUCUUUAUGCAUUUAAUAAUUCUACGUACCUCAUAUAAAUGAAAUCAAAUGGUAUUUGUAACUGGCUUAUUUCACUUAGCAUAAUAUCCUCAAGAUUCAGUCAUAUUGUUAUAUGUGUCAUAAAUUGCAUUUGUAAUAUCACAAACUACACCUUGAUAUAUUGUCUACUGAUUAGCAUGGAUUUAUAAUUAUUUUUAUGCUUUGCCUUCUACAUUCUAUAAAAGAAUAAAAAGUUGAGUUAAAAACCAAAAUUAUAAUAAUGAAA
This 1124-nucleotide long non-coding RNA is filed under the name Homo sapiens (human). Its description in RNAcentral is "long intergenic non-protein coding RNA 2817". Lineage: Eukaryota; Metazoa; Chordata; Mammalia; Primates; Hominidae. The record is from RNAcentral.